CGAAAGCCUGGCGGAGCAAUACCGCGUGAGGGAAGAAGGCUUUUGGGUUGUAAACCUCUUUUGUCAGGGAAGAAGAAUUGACGGUACCUGAAGAAAAAGCAUCGGCUAACUCCGUGCCAGCAGCCACGGUAAUACGGAGGAUGCAAGCGUUAUCCGGAAUCAUUGGGCGUAAAGGGUCCGCAGGUGGCGAAUAAAGUCUGCUGUUAAAGACCGGGGCUUAACUCCGGAAAGGCAGUGGAAACUGAUUAGCUAGAGUAAGGUAGGGGUAGAGGGAAUUCCCAGUGUAGCGGUGAAAUGCGUAGAUAUUGGGAAGAACACCGGUGGCGAAAGCGCUCUACUAGGCCGAAACUGACACUGAGGGACGAAAGCUAGGGUAGCGAAAGGGAUUAGAUACCCCUGUAGUCUUAGCGGUAAACGAUGGAUACUAGGUGUAGCUUGUAUCGACCCGAGCUGUGCCGAAGCUAACGCGAUAAGUAUCCCGCCUGGGGAGUACGCACGCAAGUGUGAAACUCAAAGGAAUUGACGGGGGCCCGCACAAGCGGUGGAGUAUGUGGUUUAAUUCGAUGCAACGCGAAGAACCUUACCAGGGCUUGACAUGUCGCGAAUCUAGCGGAAACGUUAGAGUGCCUUAGGGAAUGCGAACACAGGUGGUGCAUGGCUGUCGUCAGCUCGUGUCGUGAGAUGUUGGGUUAAGUCCCGCAACGAGCGCAACCCUCGUCCUUAGUUGCCAAUAUUAAGUUAGGCACUCUAGGGAGACUGCCGGGGACAACUCGGAGGAAGGUGGGGAUGACGUCAAGUCAGCAUGCCCCUUACGUCCUGGGCUACACACGUACUACAAUGGUUGGGACAAAGGGCAGCAAGCUCGCGAGAGUAAGCGAAUCUCAUCAAACCCAGCCACAGUUCAGAUUGCAGGCUGCAACUCGCCUGCAUGAAGUAGGAAUCGCUAGUAAUCGCAGGUCAGCAUACUGCGGUGAAUUCGUUCCCGGGCCUUGUACACACCGCCCGUCACACCAUGGAAGCUGGCUACGCCCGAAGUCGUUACCCUAACCCGGUUUUGGGAGGGGGAUGCCGAAGGUAGAGCUAGUGACUGGGGUGAAGUCGUAACAAGGUAGCCGUACCGGAAGGUGUGGCUGGAUCACCUCCUUU
RNAcentral lists this ribosomal RNA (1146 nucleotides) under uncultured cyanobacterium. Its description in RNAcentral is "bacterial SSU rRNA". It matches the Rfam family "Bacterial small subunit ribosomal RNA", at positions 376 to 1533 of the family's 1533-position model. Lineage: Bacteria; Bacillati; Cyanobacteriota. The record is from RNAcentral.